Long non-coding RNA from Helianthus annuus (common sunflower), 349 nucleotides. RefSeq lists it as uncharacterized. Lineage: Eukaryota; Viridiplantae; Streptophyta; Magnoliopsida; Asterales; Asteraceae. The record is from RefSeq and is a predicted model, not a curated record. The transcript is spliced from 2 exons.
GCCGAUGUCUACCUCAAAUCCUCCAAUUCUUGGAAUCUCAUUCAAAACCCAUCAACAUCUCCACCUCCAUCCCUUUUCUUUGAUUGAAUAACUGCCGACAAAUUUGGCUCUUCUGCGAAGCAACUAUCGUUCGUGAACAAACACCACCGGUUGCCGCCUUCACUCGUUUUUCUUUUGUGGCGACAUUACAAGAAUAAGGUUACAUUACAGAUAAAUGGCUUGAAUAUGCACAAAUGAAGAAUCAUAAGAAGAUGAUGAGGAAAAGAAAUAUAAUCAGAUCUACACCACCCCUAUUUUCUGAAACUGUUAUGAAAUUGACUAAACCAAAUAAUAUACUUCUUUUUUUUUU